This 1566-nucleotide ribosomal RNA is filed under the name Candidatus Goldiibacteriota bacterium. RNAcentral's name for it is "bacterial SSU rRNA". It matches the Rfam family "Bacterial small subunit ribosomal RNA". The record is from RNAcentral. Lineage: Bacteria; Candidatus Goldiibacteriota.
UCUUUGGAGAGUUUGAUUCUGGCUCAGGACUAACGUUGGCGGCGUGCCUAAUACAUGCAAGUCGAACGGAACUGCAGUAGCAAUAUUGCAGUUUAGUGGCGAACGGGUGAGUAAUGAAUGGGUAACGUUCCUUAAAGACUGGGAUAGCUAUCCGAAAGGAUAGAUAAUACCAGAUGUGAACACAUAGACCCAAGUUUAUAUGUUCAAAGGAUGGCCUCUACUUGUAAGCUAUCGCUUUAAGAUCGGCCCAUUUCCUAUCAGCUAGUUGGUAGGGUAAUAGCCUACCAAGGCAGCAACGGGUAGCCGGUCUGAGAGGAUGUUCGGCCACACUGGGACUGAGAUACGGCCCAGACUCCUACGGGAGGCAGCAGUAGGGAAUUUUCCGCAAUGGGCGAAAGCCUGACGGAGCGACGCCGCGUGAGGGAUGAAGGCCUUCGGGUUGUAAACCUCUUUUAUCAGGGACCAAGGCGUUUGUGUAAAUAAUACAAACGUUUGAUUGUACUUGAUGAAUAAGCUACGGCUAACUCUGUGCCAGCAGCCGCGGUAAUACAGAGGUAGCUAACGUUGUCCGGAUUUACUGGGCGUAAAGAGAUCGUAGGUGGACAAACAAGUCAGAUGUGAAAUCUUCCCGCUUAACGGGAAAAUUGCAUUUGAUACUGUUUGCCUUGAGUGCGAAGGGAGAAAAUGGAAUUUCCGGUGUAGCGGUAAAAUGCGUAGAUAUCGGAAAGAACACCAGUGGCGAAAGCGGUUUUCUAUUUCGCAACUGACACUGAGGAUCGAAAGCCAGGGGAGCAAACGGGAUUAGAUACCCCGGUAGUCCUGGCCAUAAACUAUGCUCACUAGGUAUGGGUGGUUAAUUCUAUCCGUGCCGCCGCUAAUGCAUUAAGUGAGCCGCCUGGGGACUACGGCCGCAAGGUUGAAACUCAAAGAAAUUGACGGGGGCCCGCACAAGCGGUGGAGCAUGUGGUUCAAUUCGACGCAACGCGAAGAACCUUACCUGGGCUUGACAUGCUUUUGAAAGCCCGUAGAAAUAUGGGCCCUCUAUCCGAAAGGAUGGACAAUUGCACAGGUGUUGCAUGGCUGUCGUCAGCUCGUGCCGUGAGGUGUUGGGUUAAGUCCUCUAACGAGCGCAACCCCUAUCUUUAGUUGUCAGCGGGUUAUGCCGGACACUCUAACGAAACUGCCUGGUUUAACCAGGAGGAAGGUGGGGAUGACGUCAAGUCAUCAUGGCCCUUAUGUCCAGGGUUACACACGUGCUACAAUGGCAGACACAAAGGGCUGCGAGACCGUGAGGUGGAGCCAAUCCCUAAAAGUCUGUCUCAGUUCAGAUUGGAGUCUGCAACCCGACUCCAUGAAGCCGGAAUCGCUAGUAAUCGUGGAUCAGCUACGCCACGGUGAAUACGUUCUCGGGCCUUGUACACACCGCCCGUCAAGCCACGAAAGUUAUUUGUACCAGAAGACGCCUAUCUAACCGUAAGGAUGUAAGCGGACAAGGUAUGAAUAAUGAUUGGGGCUAAGUCGUAACAAGGUAGUCGUACCGGAAGGUGCGGCUGGAUCACCUCCUUU